RNAcentral lists this ribosomal RNA (575 nucleotides) under Aspergillus clavatus. RNAcentral describes it as "eukaryotic LSU rRNA". The stretch from base 199 to 352 matches the Rfam family "5.8S ribosomal RNA". RNAcentral also lists the same sequence under 1 other name. Lineage: Eukaryota; Fungi; Ascomycota; Eurotiomycetes; Eurotiales; Aspergillaceae. The record is from RNAcentral.
GCGGAGGGAUCAUUACCGAGUUUACAACUCCCAAACCCAAUGUGAACGUUACCAAACUGUUGCCUCGGCGGGGUCACGCCCCGGGUGCGUCGCAGCCCCGGAACCAGGCGCCCGCCGGAGGAACCAACCAAACUCUUUCUGUAGUCCCCUCGCGGACGUAUUUCUUACAGCUCUGAGCAAAAAUUCAAAAUGAAUCAAAACUUUCAACAACGGAUCUCUUGGUUCUGGCAUCGAUGAAGAACGCAGCGAAAUGCGAUAAGUAAUGUGAAUUGCAGAAUUCAGUGAAUCAUCGAAUCUUUGAACGCACAUUGCGCCCGCCAGUAUUCUGGCGGGCAUGCCUGUCCGAGCGUCAUUUCAACCCUCGAACCCCUCCGGGGGAUCGGCGUUGGGGAUCGGGACCCCUCACACGGGUGCCGGCCCCGAAAUACAGUGGCGGUCUCGCCGCAGCCUCUCCUGCGCAGUAGUUUGCACAACUCGCACCGGGAGCGCGGCGCGUCCACGUCCGUAAAACACCCAACUUUCUGAAAUGUUGACCUCGGAUCAGGUAGGAAUACCCGCUGAACUUAAGCAUAUCA